CUGACAUCUUCUGUAGAUUCCCUGGUGAAGGAUACAGAAAACAGAUAAGAACCAAUAUUGUAAACAGCCCCAAGAAAUCAAAUUACAUUUGUGCUCAAAUGAACUAAAGAUGAAACCUUUCAUAUAUUUCCAUAUAAACAAAACCUUCCUGAUCUAUAAUCAGAAUCAUCCUUCAAGUUUACAUUACCUCUCUUAACUCUUUUAACUUUUUUUUUUUUGGACAAAUCUCUUAACUCUUAACUAAUACAACAUAAACCAUGGUGAUCAUACAUAUCCAACCUAUCGAAGAUAAUUCGUAUAAUUCACAGACGAUGAAAUACCUGUGGCAAGAGAAGACUCAAGGGAUUUGACGAUAUUGGUCAUGGAUUUGGUGAUGGUGGUCAUCUUAGCCUGAGUAUCAAGACGAGCAACAACAGCGUCAAGGCGAGAAGCGAGACGGAGAUAGUUCAUCUGCUCGCUACGCUUACGAAUGGCGUUCUCAGCGUAGAUCCGAGCACCAUCCAUAUUACCCUUCUCGAUAGCCUUCUUCACCUUCAAUUUCUC
Molecule: long non-coding RNA, 543 nt
Organism: Arabidopsis thaliana (thale cress)
Lineage: Eukaryota; Viridiplantae; Streptophyta; Magnoliopsida; Brassicales; Brassicaceae
Product: other RNA
Exons: 1
Source: RefSeq